RNAcentral lists this long non-coding RNA (901 nucleotides) under Solanum tuberosum (potato). RNAcentral describes it as "long non-coding RNA (STUB_LNC005333)". The record is from RNAcentral. Lineage: Eukaryota; Viridiplantae; Streptophyta; Magnoliopsida; Solanales; Solanaceae.
AGAGGAAUUGAAUUCGAAAAACUUGAUAUAAAUGAAAAGGCUCAUAAAAAUAAAAUUAUCCCAAAAUUAUAAUCUUGGACAAAAGUAUUUGACUAGCAAUUUGAAUCCCAAAAAGCUCGUCAAAAUAAAGUUAUCCCAUAAUUAUAAUCUUGAAAUUAUAAUUAAGAACACACCCAUGAAUAGAUAACACCAACAACCAAAUACGGAAUAAAGUUAACCCCAAAUUUUAUAUCGGAAUAACCUCAAAUCCAUGUAAAUAGGGAAAGAAAUAGAAAUUAAACACAAAUUGAAUCAAAAUCUUCUUCUUUGAUUGAAACUAUCCGAUAUGUAUACAAGAAGAACUAGCCUUAAUAAUAAUAAUCUAAAACUAGUACAAAAUUUGUUAAUUAACCCCCAUUUUAACUAAUUUAAUUUCCUCCAUUGCUAUAUGUACACUCCCAAUAUGAGGGAAAAGAACAAUAGAAAAGAAUAUAAAACAAAAAACCCUAAAUUUUUUCAAUCAUGCCAACAAAGAAGCAUGACUACACAUCUUCUAAUAAUGUAAAGUUUGGCUCUUUGUUCUCUAAGAACUCCUCCAACUCCUCUACUUGAAAUUCUCCUCUUUGAACUUCCCAUAUUUGAGCUUCCCAUCUUCAUAUUUGAUUCAAAUUGUUGUGUGUGGUUACAAAAUCAAGAAAAUGAAGGAAGAAAAAUGGAAUCUUUGAUUUUCUUGAUUUAGAGCUUUGAGUUCUUGAUGAUGUGUUAAGAGAUUGAAUUGAAUGUGUUGAAGUUUGAGUAGUAAGAGGGGGUUCUUAUAGGUGAGUUUGGAGAGUGGUCCAAAAUUGUAUUGGUCUAGUAAAGAGGACACUAUGGGGGCCAUCAAAGGAUGUGAAAUGCCUCUUAUGUGGGUCCUACUUUUCAC